GGGGCUAUACGCUAACCUGGUAGACUGCCAGAUUCGGGUUCUGGUCAUCUGGGUUCAAAUCCCAGUAGCCCCA
This 73-nucleotide transfer RNA is filed under the name Microcaldota archaeon. Its description in RNAcentral is "tRNA-Pro". It matches the Rfam family "tRNA". Rfam says of the family: Transfer RNA (tRNA) molecules are approximately 80 nucleotides in length. Their secondary structure includes four short double-helical elements and three loops (D, anti-codon, and T loops). RNAcentral also lists the same sequence under 1 other name. Lineage: Archaea; Nanobdellati; Microcaldota. The record is from RNAcentral.